GUGCAGGAGGAGGGUGGGGGCUUCCUGGAGCAGUGGCCCUGGCCACCCUGUGCAGUGGCUGCAGCUCAGCCCCUUCCCUGGCCUUUCUGUCUCCCUGUUGCUUUCACAGCUGGAGCUGCCUCAGAGGCCCCUGUCCUCACCCCUGAGAAGGCCAGGCCCGGGCAGGUGCCUGGGCUGGGGCUGCUCCUGGCCAGGCGGGAAGACUGUCAGUUGGAGGAAAGCCCAGGCCGCCGAGAGCGCAGCGGAUGGACCUCAGGGAAGGUCUGGCACGCCGCCUCCGGGAAGCCUUCCGGCCUUCUCCCUGCACCCAGUACUGGGGAGUCUCAGGCCACGGUGAAUGAAGAGCGACGGGCCGGAGAGACCUCGCCCUCUGCCCAGGAGCAGCGCCCAGCAACCCCGCCCACAGGGGACCCGGUGGACGCCCUGGCCACUUUGCCAGGCCCCCCAUCUCCCAGCGAACCAGAGGGGGUUUCCGUUCCCCUCCUGCUUGGUGCCUAGCGCCAGGGCGGGGCGGGGGCUGAGCAGCCCCUCCCUUGGACGGAGCGGCCAGUCUACAUAUUGGAGGAGGGGCUCUGGGGAAAGGGUGUUGUUAGGAAGGCGGUUUGAGGCAGCGGGAGGUGGGGAUGCGCCCGACGGGGAGGGGCAGGUGUGUGGGGAGGGCAUGGGCAGCACCUCCCCAGCCAGGCCCCGCAGCUGGACCCCGGCUCCGUCCAGCCUGGGAAAGGACUCCACGGUUUAUGCUGAAGUGGCGGUGGGGUGGCUGAACGAUACGCAAUGGAAGGGCAUGGCCCUGUGCUAAUUGCCCCGGGGUGUGGGGCUGUGGAGGCACUGCGGGGGGGUUGUGCUGUGUCAGUUGGGCAAUGGCGGCCAACUGUGGCGUGCAGACCUUGGAGUUGCCCCUCCAUGGAGCUUUAAUAAAGGCACUGGCCCUGCAA
Molecule: long non-coding RNA, 935 nt
Organism: Symphalangus syndactylus (siamang)
Lineage: Eukaryota; Metazoa; Chordata; Mammalia; Primates; Hylobatidae
Source: RefSeq, a predicted model, not a curated record